Catharus ustulatus (Swainson's thrush) is the source of this 999-nucleotide long non-coding RNA. RefSeq lists it as uncharacterized. The record is from RefSeq and is a predicted model, not a curated record. NCBI's taxonomy places the organism in Eukaryota, Metazoa, Chordata, Aves, Passeriformes, Turdidae. The transcript has 7 exons.
GGAGCUUGGGAGAGCAAAGCAAUUGCAGGUGUGAUACUGUGCUAGGGGAUUAACCUGUUAGCAGCUGGCUCUCUCCUAAAGGAAGAAAAUAAACGACAAAAUUUCAUAGCCGGAAAAUACAGCUAAGGGGAGCUGUUCUGAAUUUCAGUUAGGACUCUACAGAACUGUUUUGUACUGAACACUGAUAGACCAAGUGCUGUCAUCCUCAUGGUGCUCAAGCCUCUCCACAUCUUACUUAUCUGGAGUUCACAAAGCUGGACACAGUAAAUCUCUUGAUGGAGUUUCAGUUUUCCAACUAAAGUAUUUCAACUGGCUUGAGGUCUCAAACUUGAAGAAAUAAAUGGAUCAAGUCCCAGAGGAGAUGACCUGUCAGAUGCCUAGAAAAAUGAAUUAAGGAAAAAAAAAUACUAUUGUUUAUUUUAGCAAGAAUAUGAGAAGACACUUUGUAUAUAUACAGAAGAUAUCAAUGCAAAGGGUCAGUAACCAGAUCUCAAUCAUAUUCUUUUCUCAUAAUAUCUGGCCAAAAUCACAGAAAUGCUGCCCAACCAGAGCUGAGCCUUCAGAGCAAGCAACAGAGAAAAUCCAGAUGGAAACCACAGUGGCCAGGUCUUCAGGAUCAUUCAGAUGCAAGACCUGUGAUGUUCAGCUUGUCAUCAACCAGGAAAGUCAUAGGUGAACUCAUGAAAACUGGAUACCAUAGAGAAGCUAAUGGAGGUCCUGUCUGGGCAUUAUGGAUGGAAGGAUUUCUAUAAAUGCAUUCUGCUUUCCGGCUCCUACCCCGACAUUUUCCUGCCAAAGCCGUGACUUCUCCCUGAUUUUGCUUUGCAUGACUGGGAGAGCAAAGGCAGAAAACACAUCUUUAAAGUGACAAGAGACACUGUGGGAUCCUUGCUUAAGAGUCCUGAACACAGCACAAAGUGAUUUGAAUUGUUCACUGAAGAUUUUACUGCAAGAAUGAACACUUACUUUCCCUUGGGAAAGAAAGAAAGAAAGAAAGAA